CCCUAUGGGGUGCAGCAGGCGAGAAAACUUUGCAAUGUGCGAAAGCACGACAAGGUUAAUCCGAGUGGUUUCUGCUAAAGGAACCUUUUGUCGGUCCUAGAAACACCGAUGAAUAAGGGGUGGGCAAGUUCUGGUGUCAGCCGCCGCGGUAAAACCAGCACCUCAAGUGGUCAGGAUGAUUAUUGGGCCUAAAGCAUCCGUAGCCGGCUUUGUUAGUUUUCGGUUAAAUCUGUACGCUUAACGUACAGGCUGCCGGGAAUACUGCAGAGCUAGGGAGUGGGAGAGGUAGACGGUACUCGGUAGGAAGGGGUAAAAUCCUUUGAUCUAUCGAUGACCACCUGUGGCGAAGGCGGUCUACCAGAACACGUCCGACGGUGAGGGAUGAGAGCUGGGGGAGCAAACCGGAUUAGAUACCCGGGUAGUCCCAGCUGUAAACUAUGCAAACUCAGUGAUGCAUUGGCUUGUGGCCAAUGCAGUGCUGCAGGGAAGCCGUUAAGUUUGCCGCCUGGGAAGUACGUACGCAAGUAUGAAACUUAAAGGAAUUGGCGGGGGAGCACCACAAGGGGUGAAGCCUGCGGUCCAAUUGGAGUCAACGCCAGAAAUCUUACCGGAGAGACAGCAGAUGAAGUCAGCUGAGACUUUACCAGACAGCUGAGAGGAGGUGCAUGGCAGGCGAUUCAGCACACUGC
RNAcentral lists this ribosomal RNA (689 nucleotides) under uncultured marine group I thaumarchaeote. RNAcentral's name for it is "bacterial SSU rRNA". It matches the Rfam family "Archaeal small subunit ribosomal RNA", at positions 321 to 1017 of the family's 1478-position model. Lineage: Archaea; Thermoproteati; Nitrososphaerota. The record is from RNAcentral.